This 444-nucleotide ribosomal RNA is filed under the name uncultured bacterium. Its description in RNAcentral is "partial 16S ribosomal RNA". It matches the Rfam family "Bacterial small subunit ribosomal RNA", at positions 354 to 796 of the family's 1533-position model. The record is from RNAcentral.
GUGAGGAAUAUUGGGCAAUGGUCGGAAGACUGACCCAGCCAUGCCGCGUGCAGGAAGACGGCCCUCUGGGUUGUAAACUGCUUUUAUCUGGGAAGAAAAAGGCCAUGCGUGGCAAAUUGCCGGUACCAGAUGAAUAAGCACCGGCUAACUCCGUGCCAGCAGCCGCGGUAAUACGGAGGGUGCGAGCGUUGUCCGGAUUUAUUGGGUUUGAAGGGUGCGUAGGCGGCUGAUAAAGUCAGCGGUGAAAGACUUCGGCUUAACCGGAGCAGUGCCGUUGAUACUGGUUGGCUUGAGUGUCGGAGGGGUACAUGGAAUUGAUGGUGUAGCGGUGAAAUGCAUAGAUACCAUCAGGAACACCGAUAGCGAAGGCAUUGUACUGGCCGACAACUGACGCUGAUGCACGAAAGUGUGGGGAUCGAACAGGAUUAGAAACCCCGGUAGUCC